GAAUUGCGAUAAGUAAUGUGAAUUGCAGAAUUCAGUGAAUCAUCGAAUCUUUGAACGCAGCUUGCGCUCUCUGGUAUUCCGGAGAGCAUGCCUGUUUCAGUGUCAUGAAAUCUCAACCACUAGGGUUUCCUAAUGGAUUGGAUUUGGGCGUCUGCGAUUUCUGAUCGCUCGCCUUAAAAGAGUUAGCAAGUUUGACAUUAAUGUCUGGUGUAAUAAGUUUCACUGGGUCCAUUGUGUUGAAGCGUGCUUCUAAUCGUCCGCAAGGACAAUUACUUUGACUCUGGCCUGAAAUCAGGUAGGACUACCCGCUGAACUUAA
This 318-nucleotide non-coding RNA is filed under the name uncultured fungus. RNAcentral describes it as "eukaryotic LSU rRNA". The stretch from base 1 to 105 matches the Rfam family "5.8S ribosomal RNA", at positions 50 to 154 of the family's 154-position model. RNAcentral also lists the same sequence under 2 other names. The record is from RNAcentral. Lineage: Eukaryota; Fungi.